Molecule: small RNA, 175 nt
Filed under: Trueperella pyogenes
Lineage: Bacteria; Bacillati; Actinomycetota; Actinomycetes; Actinomycetales; Actinomycetaceae
Description: Magnesium sequence
Rfam family: M-box riboswitch aptamer (ykoK leader)
About the family: M-box riboswitch, also know as ykoK leader is described as a metaloregulatory RNA that sense divalent metals and function as a genetic control element of genes related to divalent metal transport in bacteria. It was first reported upstream of the B.subtilis ykoK gene and genes with related functions in other bacteria.
Source: RNAcentral
CUACUGCUUUGUUAGAUGAGAUUACUCAGCGGACACAGGCCACUGAUCCGACCGUAUCGACAGAUGCUGGAGGGUUAGGACAGAUUUCCUCGGAUUAAGGGGUAAUCCAAAGUGGUUUCCGGCUUUAGGGUUGGAUACGCCGUUGAGAGUCGAAGUUUUUACGUGGAAGCACACA